UGGGGAAUUUUGGACAAUGGGCGAAAGCCUGAUCCAGCCAUGCCGCGUGAGUGACGAAGGCCUUAGGGUUGUAAAGCUCUUUUGGCGGGGAAGAUAAUGACGGUACCCGCAGAAUAAGCUCCGGCUAACUUCGUGCCAGCAGCCGCGGUAAUACGAAGGGAGCUAGCGUUGUUCGGAAUCACUGGGCGUAAAGCGCACGUAGGCGGAUUUGUCAGUCAGGGGUGAAAUCCCGGGGCUCAACCUCGGAACUGCCUUUGAUACAGCAAGUCUUGAGUUCGAGAGAGGUGGGUGGAAUUCCUAGUGUAGAGGUGAAAUUCGUAGAUAUUAGGAAGAACACCGGUGGCGAAGGCGGCCCACUGGCUCGAUACUGACGCUGAGGUGCGAAAGCGUGGGGAGCAAACAGGAUUAGAUACCCCCGUAGUCCCUGAGCGGGCUGGCAAGGCGCAU
This 447-nucleotide ribosomal RNA is filed under the name uncultured bacterium. Its description in RNAcentral is "bacterial SSU rRNA". It matches the Rfam family "Bacterial small subunit ribosomal RNA", at positions 355 to 825 of the family's 1533-position model. The record is from RNAcentral.